UUUUAUUGAUGGCUUUUGUGUUUUUUUCUGUUGGGCCGACGGGGUGUGUGUGAGGGCCCAGCCCGUGUGAGUGAGGGGUGCUUAGCCCCUAAGCCGAAAACGGCGUCGUUUGGAAAUCUCGUAGGGCUUCAUCGCUUACCCUUCUCCCUGCGCCGCACCUCACUUCCCUUUCCCUCUUCUAUUUUUCUUCUCCUCUUCGUUUUUUUUCCUUCUCCUUCUUCCUUCAUGCCCGAGCUCCUUCAUCGUCACCCACCUCCUCCAUUGAACCACCUCCACGCAUCCUCUUCUGUGAGCCCAUCUCCAUCGAUCUGUGAGGCCAUCUUCAUCUUGUGGUAGAGGAUCCAAGGUUCGGAUCUCUCACUCUCUAUUAGAAAGGUUCAAUACUUUCACUGCUCUUGACCUGUUUAGGUGUUGCUACAGCUCAGGAGAUGCCGGUUGCCCUAACGGGUUCAGGUCUACCUUUCUAUAUUUUAGGAAAAGUUUAUCCCCGAAGGACCUAUCGAUCUGUCCUUUCAAGUUGGUAUUGUUGAAAAUUGAAAUAACAACUAAUUUAUGCUCGGCUUAUUACCUAACAUCUUCUAGAAGAUAUUCUUUUUUUUUUUUUUGAUAAUUCUAGAAGAUAUUCUUUUGCUUCUACAACAUUAGAUCAUUGCGUGGACUCUUCUCUUUUGGGUCCAAGUCUGGAAAAUCUAUACAUCUCCUCUUUUAUCAAUUAUCAUUUGAGAUAGUUUUUUAGGCUUCCUUACAGUUUCUGUAAUUCUCUUUAACUGUAUUGAUCCCAGUCAAUGUGUUAUCUUGGUUGUGUACUCUUUUGUUCUUUACGACUCAAAUUACAUCCAUAGCUUAGCUUAGAGUUAAGAACAAUCCGAAUCCAACAUUGGAUUGACCAAUAUGAUUGAUUCUCUACACAGCAUCUACACAACAUCUAAGCAGGAAAAGUUGUUCAACAGUUUCAGACAGUACUAAGCUGCUCAGAUCUUGGACAGAAUCCAGAUUACCACGUUACUUCUUUAUAUCUAUUAACAUGUUAUUGUGUGACCAUUUCUUAAAAAAGAGAUUAUGUUCAUGUCUGCACAGCAUAGAUGAAUUAAAUGUAUACAUUGAGUUGAAGUAGGUAACCUAACCAAUACCUACAACAGAGUACUUAAAUUCGUAAAAA
Long non-coding RNA from Carya illinoinensis, 1159 nucleotides. RefSeq lists it as uncharacterized. The record is from RefSeq and is a predicted model, not a curated record. NCBI's taxonomy places the organism in Eukaryota, Viridiplantae, Streptophyta, Magnoliopsida, Fagales, Juglandaceae. The transcript has 2 exons.